UCAUUCUCCCGCAGUUUUCUGUCUCAAAGGGAGGUGGACGGCUGUUUUCUCCUCGGUCAGGAGAGUUAAAGAACACCAGAGGAUUUUCUCAAGCCAAAUGUAAAUGGAUGUAGGCAGAGUAAAAGCUGAUGAGAUGCCUUAGAGAGGGAUGACAUCUUCCAAGAGCUCUUAACUUUGCUUUUGCAACCAUCAGUGGAGGAAAGCAACGAUGAUCACUGGAUUUGAUCCAUGCCAGGUCAUAACCCUUUUUAUUGAUCUCAAGUUAGCAUAGACCCAACCAAAUAUUACAAUCAUACAUUUAUAUUUACUAAAUACACAAUUCAUCUCCACAUGUGUCAAAAAUAGACUUCCACACACAAAUAAGGUGAUAAGUAAAAAAAAGUCAUGUGACAGAUGAGCAAGUCUAAUAAAAUGUUCAUUUUACAGAAACAUUUGGUACACAGUCAGACAGUUUUACAGAUAUCUCAGUUUCACUUUAUUUGACAUGUGCAUUUAUGUGUACUUAAGAAAGUACUGAGUAAUAAUAACAACAUGAGUUAAGAUUAGGUUCAGGGUUAGUAGUUAUUACCAAGUUAUUGUAAUUAUUAUAAUAAUAAGGAACAGGACUGUAAAAUAAAGUGCUACCAAUAUUUUUUAUACAGAGACAUCCAGAUCUUAUGUACGACUGGAAUAUUUGCAGUAUAAAUUUGUUCCUGACACUGAUUUAGCCAUUAGGUUGUAUAUUAAUUGUUCAAUUCUAGUAAUGUUUGAAACAUCACAUCAGUAGUUUUUCUUUCUCCUGCAGUUGUGGUUAUUCAUCUCUCUGUUCAACAUUAUGCUGCAUUAAAUCGUAGCAGACAUGUGGAAUCAAACACAAAUACAUUCCAAGUUGCAAAUUCUUAGGCCUAAAUCUUAGCAUGUUGCACCAGUGCAUUUCAGUUUCUAAACAUGUAACUUUCAAAGCUCUUGUAGUAGUACACUGUGACAAAUACACAUUGUGACACGUUACACUAAAUCUGUUGAAAGGUAUCUUUCAAACAUGAUGUCUAG
Molecule: long non-coding RNA, 1029 nt
Organism: Pimephales promelas (fathead minnow)
Lineage: Eukaryota; Metazoa; Chordata; Actinopteri; Cypriniformes; Leuciscidae
Source: RefSeq, a predicted model, not a curated record